UACGUAGGGUGCAAGCGUUGUCCGGAAUUAUUGGGCGUAAAGAGCUCGUAGGCGGUCUGUCACGUCGACUGUGAAAUCCCGAGGCUCAACCUCGGGCCUGCAGUCGAUACGGGCAGACUAGAGUUCGGUAGGGGAGACUGGAAUUCCUGGUGUAGCGGUGAAAUGCGCAGAUAUCAGGAGGAACACCGGUGGCGAAGGCGGGUCUCUGGGCCGAAACUGACGCUGAGGAGCGAAAGCGUGGGGAGCGAACAGG
Molecule: ribosomal RNA, 253 nt
Filed under: uncultured bacterium
Lineage: Bacteria
Description: partial 16S ribosomal RNA
Rfam family: Bacterial small subunit ribosomal RNA
Source: RNAcentral